RNAcentral lists this unclassified non-coding RNA (806 nucleotides) under Hevea brasiliensis (rubber tree). Lineage: Eukaryota; Viridiplantae; Streptophyta; Magnoliopsida; Malpighiales; Euphorbiaceae. The record is from RNAcentral.
ACAGCCUUGUCAGAGGGCCUUCAUCUCACUUGUACAGUAGCUAUAGGUGCUUUCUUUGCAUGCAUUUAUAUGCAGCAGAUAUCACCCUCUUCUUCCACCCAACUCCCAACUCCAACUCUUUCAACACACACACACUGACACACUCUCUUCCCCGCGUGAACCAUGAAGCAACAUCUUUCCCACACUGUUCUUCUCCUCGUCCUUCUUUUCCUUUUUUAUUCUUCAAAAUUGUCAGCACAUCCCAUGAUAAGUAAACAAGAGCAAGAGCAGGUAAACUUCAAUGCAAUGACCAGCCAGGACUCUAUUGUGGAAGUGGACAGCAGUAGUGAAUUGCUAAUGGGUUCUGAGGUCUGUGAAACUGGUGAUGAAGAAUGUUUCAAGAGAAGAUUAAUCUCAGAGGCUCACUUGGACUACAUCUACACCCAGCACCACAAGCCUUGACUUACAAAUUCAGAGAGAUUUGAAGUUUCAUGUUUUCUAUUUAAUUUCCAGCUCAGGCCUAGAUUCUAUAGAAUCCAGGUUAAAUUUAUCAGUUUCUUCUCUAAAUGACAGCAUCAUGUUUGAAAGCCACUAGAUUUGGUUUUCAAGGUUCCUUAUUUUGUCUUCAUAAUGUAAUUAUUUUUCUUUUUGUUUCAUUUGACUCUGAUGCAACUCGAACUCAAGAACUCCCAGUUAGGAUAACUUUAGUACUACUGAAAAUCAUUGGCUUUUGUUAUGUCUCUAUGAACUGUGAUUUCUGGUGCUAAGGGAAUAUAUGGAACCUUAUAUUUCACAAUACAGAAAGAGAGAGAGGAAAGUGAGGAAGG